Molecule: ribosomal RNA, 249 nt
Filed under: uncultured soil bacterium
Lineage: Bacteria
Description: partial 16S ribosomal RNA
Rfam family: Bacterial small subunit ribosomal RNA
Source: RNAcentral
AGGACGAACGCUGGCGGCGUGCUUAACACAUGCAAGUCAAGGGGGCCCAGCAAUGGGCAACCGGCGAACGGGUGCGUAACACGUGAGCAACCUACCGAACUGUGGGGGAUAGCCGGCCUAACGGCCGAGUAAUACCGCAUACGCUCUCAGAGAGGCAUUUCUUUGAGAGGAAACCUACGGGACAGAUCGAGGGGCUCGCGGCCUAUCAGCUAGUUGGCGAGGUAACGGCUCACCAAGGCAACGACGGGU